RNAcentral lists this ribosomal RNA (1848 nucleotides) under Salmonella enterica. Its description in RNAcentral is "partial 23S ribosomal RNA". It matches the Rfam family "Bacterial large subunit ribosomal RNA", at positions 1090 to 2915 of the family's 2925-position model. Lineage: Bacteria; Pseudomonadati; Pseudomonadota; Gammaproteobacteria; Enterobacterales; Enterobacteriaceae. The record is from RNAcentral.
CAGCCAGGAUGUUGGCUUAGAAGCAGCCAUCAUUUAAAGAAAGCGUAAUAGCUCACUGGUCGAGUCGGCCUGCGCGGAAGAUGUAACGGGGCUAAACCAUGCACCGAAGCUGCGGCAGCGACACUUUAGUGUUGUUGGGUAGGGGAGCGUUCUGUAAGCCGUUGAAGGUGUCCUGUGAGGGGUGCUGGAGGUAUCAGAAGUGCGAAUGCUGACAUAAGUAACGAUAAAGCGGGUGAAAAGCCCGCUCGCCGGAAGACCAAGGGUUCCUGUCCAACGUUAAUCGGGGCAGGGUGAGUCGACCCCUAAGGCGAGGCCGAAAGGCGUAGUCGAUGGGAAACGGGUUAAUAUUCCCGUACUUGGUGUUACUGCGAAGGGGGGACGGAGAAGGCUAUGUUGGCCGGGCGACGGUAGUCCCGGUUUAAGCGUGUAGGUGUGUGUUCCAGGUAAAUCCGGUUCACUUUAACACUGAGGCGUGAUGACGAGGCACCACGGUGCUGAAGCAACAAAUGCCCUGCUUCCAGGAAAAGCCUCUAAGCAUCAGGUAACAUCAAAUCGUACCCCAAACCGACACAGGUGGUCAGGUAGAGAAUACCAAGGCGCUUGAGAGAACUCGGGUGAAGGAACUAGGCAAAAUGGUGCCGUAACUUCGGGAGAAGGCACGCUGACACGUAGGUGAAGUGAUUUACUCAUGGAGCUGAAGUCAGUCGAAGAUACCAGCUGGCUGCAACUGUUUAUUAAAAACACAGCACUGUGCAAACACGAAAGUGGACGUAUACGGUGUGACGCCUGCCCGGUGCCGGAAGGUUAAUUGAUGGGGUCAGCGCAAGCGAAGCUCCUGAUCGAAGCCCCGGUAAACGGCGGCCGUAACUAUAACGGUCCUAAGGUAGCGAAAUUCCUUGUCGGGUAAGUUCCGACCUGCACGAAUGGCGUAAUGAUGGCCAGGCUGUCUCCACCCGAGACUCAGUGAAAUUGAACUCGCUGUGAAGAUGCAGUGUACCCGCGGCAAGACGGAAAGACCCCGUGAACCUUUACUAUAGCUUGACACUGAACAUUGAGCCUUGAUGUGUAGGAUAGGUGGGAGGCUUUGAAGCGUGGACGCCAGUCUGCGUGGAGCCGACCUUGAAAUACCACCCUUUAAUGUUUGAUGUUCUAACGUGGACCCGUAAUCCGGGUUGCGGACAGUGUCUGGUGGGUAGUUUGACUGGGGCGGUCUCCUCCUAAAGAGUAACGGAGGAGCACGAAGGUUGGCUAAUCCUGGUCGGACAUCAGGAGGUUAGUGCAAUGGCAUAAGCCAGCUUGACUGCGAGCGUGACGGCGCGAGCAGGUGCGAAAGCAGGUCAUAGUGAUCCGGUGGUUCUGAAUGGAAGGGCCAUCGCUCAACGGAUAAAAGGUACUCCGGGGAUAACAGGCUGAUACCGCCCAAGAGUUCAUAUCGACGGCGGUGUUUGGCACCUCGAUGUCGGCUCAUCACAUCCUGGGGCUGAAGUAGGUCCCAAGGGUAUGGCUGUUCGCCAUUUAAAGUGGUACGCGAGCUGGGUUUAGAACGUCGUGAGACAGUUCGGUCCCUAUCUGCCGUGGGCGCUGGAAGACUGAGGGGGGCUGCUCCUAGUACGAGAGGACCGGAGUGGACGCAUCACUGGUGUUCGGGUUGUCAUGCCAAUGGCACUGCCCGGUAGCUAAAUGCGGAAAAGAUAAGUGCUGAAAGCAUCUAAGCACGAAACUUGCCCCGAGAUGAGUCUUCCCUGAGACUUUGAGUCUCCUGAAGGAACGUUAAAGACGAUGACGUUGAUAGGCCGGGUGUGUAAGCGCAGCGAUGCGUUGAGCUAACCGGUACUAAUGAACCGUGAG